GUGUCAGCAGCCGCGGUAAUACAGAGGGGGCAAGCGUUGUUCGGAAUUACUGGGCGUAAAGGGCGCGUAGGCGGCCUGUUAAGUCGGACGUGAAAUCCCUCGGCUCAACCGGGGAACUGCGUCCGAUACUGGCGGGCUUGAAUUCGGGAGAGGGAUGUGGAAUUCCAGGUGUAGCGGUGAAAUGCGUAGAUAUCUGGAGGAACACCGGUGGCGAAGGCGGCAUCCUGGACCGACAUUGACGCUGAGGCGCGAAAGCCAGGGGAGCAAACGGGAUUAGAUACCCCAGUAGUCC
Molecule: ribosomal RNA, 292 nt
Filed under: uncultured bacterium
Lineage: Bacteria
Description: partial 16S ribosomal RNA
Rfam family: Bacterial small subunit ribosomal RNA
Source: RNAcentral